RNAcentral lists this ribosomal RNA (497 nucleotides) under uncultured bacterium. Its description in RNAcentral is "partial 16S ribosomal RNA". It matches the Rfam family "Bacterial small subunit ribosomal RNA", at positions 28 to 507 of the family's 1533-position model. The record is from RNAcentral.
GAUGAACGCUGGCGGCGUGCCUAAUACAUGCAAGUCGAGCGAACAGAUGAGGAGCUUGCUCCUCUGACGUUAGCGGCGGACGGGUGAGUAACACGUGGAUAACCUACCUAUAAGACUGGGAUAACUUCGGGAAACCGGAGCUAAUACCGGAUAAUAUAUUGAACCGCAUGGUUCAAUAGUGAAAGACGGCUUUGCUGUCACUUAUAGCUGGAUCCGGGCUGCAUUAGCUAGUUGGUAAGGUAACGGCUUACCACGGCAACGAUGCGUAGCCGACCUGAGAGGGGGAUCGGCCACACUGGAACUGAGACACGGUCCAGACUCCUACGGGAGGCAGCAGUAGGGAAUCUUCCGCAAUGGGCGAAAGCCUGACGGAGCAACGCCGCGUGAGUGAUGAAGGUCUUCGGAUCGUAAAACUCUGUUAUUAGGGAAGAACAAAUGUGUAAGUAACUAUGCACGUCUUGACGGUACCUAAUCAGAAAGCCACGGCUAACUACGUG